RNAcentral lists this ribosomal RNA (484 nucleotides) under uncultured bacterium. RNAcentral's name for it is "partial 16S ribosomal RNA". It matches the Rfam family "Bacterial small subunit ribosomal RNA", at positions 29 to 507 of the family's 1533-position model. The record is from RNAcentral.
AUUGAACGCUGGCGGCAUGCUUUACACAUGCAAGUCGAACGGCAGCGCGGGCUUCGGCCUGGCGGCGAGUGGCGAACGGGUGAGUAAUGCAUCGGAACGUGCCCAGUAGUGGGGGAUAGCCCGGCGAAAGCCGGAUUAAUACCGCAUACGACCUGAGGGUGAAAGCGGGGGACCGAAAGGCCUCGCGCUAUUGGAGCGGCCGAUGUCAGAUUAGCUAGUUGGUGGGGUAAAGGCUUACCAAGGCGACGAUCCGUAGCUGGUCUGAGAGGACGACCAGCCACACUGGGACUGAGACACGGCCCAGACUCCUACGGGAGGCAGCAGUGGGGAAUUUUGGACAAAGGGGGCAACCCUGAUCCAGCCAUGCCGCGUGCGGGAAGAAGGCCUUCGGGUUGUAAACCGCUUUUGUUCGGGAAGAAAUCCUCUGGGCUAAUACCCCGGGGGGAUGACGGUACCGGAAGAAUAAGCACCGGCUAACUACGUG